Molecule: non-coding RNA, 132 nt
Organism: Burkholderia sp.
Lineage: Bacteria; Pseudomonadati; Pseudomonadota; Betaproteobacteria; Burkholderiales; Burkholderiaceae
Source: Rfam
CCGCCCGUGUCACCGGGCGAGUCUAGGAGUCUGAAUAAAGAGCGACUCUGACAAUGUAACGAAGCAUCGCAAGAUGCGGGGUAUCAAUCGCGAGAGGCGUACCCUUCUGGCAGCCACACGCCGGAUGAGUGC